Molecule: ribosomal RNA, 287 nt
Filed under: Proteus mirabilis
Lineage: Bacteria; Pseudomonadati; Pseudomonadota; Gammaproteobacteria; Enterobacterales; Morganellaceae
Description: partial 23S ribosomal RNA
Rfam family: Bacterial large subunit ribosomal RNA
Source: RNAcentral
CCCCGCUUCCAGGAAAAGCCUCUAAGCUUCAGGUUACCAACAAUCGUACCCCAAACCGACACAGGUGGUCAGGUAGAGAAUACUCAGGCGCUUGAGAGAACUCGGGUGAAGGAACUAGGCAAAAUGGUGCCGUAACUUCGGGAGAAGGCACGCUGGCGGUAGGUAAAGUCCCUUGCGGACGGCGCUGAAGCCAGUCGAAGAUACCAGCUGGCUGCAACUGUUUAUUAAAAACACAGCACUGUGCAAACACGAAAGUGGACGUAUACGGUGUGACGCCUGCCCGGUGC